UUUUUAGUAUAAGUAUAUCCCAUGCAAUAUUUGGGACAAAUUGGAAAUACUUAUACUAAAA
RNAcentral lists this microRNA precursor (61 nucleotides) under Pteropus alecto (black flying fox). RNAcentral's name for it is "mir-1302 microRNA precursor family". It matches the Rfam family "mir-1302 microRNA precursor family". Lineage: Eukaryota; Metazoa; Chordata; Mammalia; Chiroptera; Pteropodidae. RNAcentral also lists the same sequence under 1 other name. The record is from Rfam by way of RNAcentral.